This 253-nucleotide ribosomal RNA is filed under the name uncultured bacterium. RNAcentral describes it as "partial 16S ribosomal RNA". It matches the Rfam family "Bacterial small subunit ribosomal RNA", at positions 524 to 776 of the family's 1533-position model. The record is from RNAcentral.
UACAGAGGCUGCAAGCGUUAUUCGGAUUCACUGGGCGUAAAGGGUGCGCAGGCGGCCGUGUGUGUGAGGCGUGAAAGCCCGGGGCUUAACCCCGGAAUUGCACCUCAAACUACACGGCUAGAGCAUUGGAGAGGGUAGCAGAAUUCACGGUGUAGCAGUGAAAUGCGUAGAUAUCGUGAGGAAUACCAGAGGCGAAGGCGGCUACCUGGACAAUUGCUGACGCUCAGGCACGAAAGCGUGGGGAGCAAAAGGG